UGGGGAAUAUUGCACAAUGGGCGCAAGCCUGAUGCAGCGACGCCGCGUGAGGGAUGAAGGCCCUCGGGUUGUAAACCUCUUUCGGCAGGGACGAAGCGAAAGUGACGGUACCUGCAGAAGAAGUCCCGGCUAACUACGUGCCAGCAGCCGCGGUAAGACGUAGGGGACGAGCGUUGUCCGGAUUCAUUGGGCGUAAAGCGCGCGUAGGCGGCCACGCAAGUCGGAUGUGAAACCCCGGGCUCAAGCCCGGCCUCGGCACCCGAUACUGCGCGGCUAGAGGUAGGUAGGGGAGAUCGGAAUUCCUGGUGUAGCGGUGAAAUGCGCAGAUAUCAGGAGGAACACCGGUGGCGAAGGCGGAUCUUCUUGGGCCUUACCUGACGCUCAGGCGCGAAAGCUAGGGGAGCGAACA
RNAcentral lists this ribosomal RNA (409 nucleotides) under uncultured Actinomycetes bacterium. RNAcentral describes it as "bacterial SSU rRNA". It matches the Rfam family "Bacterial small subunit ribosomal RNA", at positions 355 to 774 of the family's 1533-position model. The record is from RNAcentral. Lineage: Bacteria; Bacillati; Actinomycetota; Actinomycetes.